Xiphophorus maculatus (southern platyfish) is the source of this 966-nucleotide long non-coding RNA. RefSeq lists it as uncharacterized. The record is from RefSeq and is a predicted model, not a curated record. NCBI's taxonomy places the organism in Eukaryota, Metazoa, Chordata, Actinopteri, Cyprinodontiformes, Poeciliidae. The transcript is spliced from 3 exons.
UCAGUUAAUUUUGUUGUAUUUCAAAGUUUGCAAUAGAAACUAUAGACCAAAACGUUUUGGUAGGAUUUGUGUUUUUGCAGUGUUUUAUGGAAUGCAUCCACUCCGUCUUUACCUUUAAGAAGAUAAUUUCUGGAAUUUAGAGCAUGAAGAGAUUUUAAAGAUGAAAACAGGGGGGAUUAAAGAGUGAAAACUACAGUUUCUGCAGAGUUAAAGUGGUCCACUGAAAGCACGUGUGAGCCCACUACACCACGAGCCCUGCCAGUGCCCACAGCGGCCACAAGGCAAGACAUAAACAAGACUGGCCCCACUGUUUGCAUUCCUGGUGUUGGACAUUUCAAGGCAGCACUGACAGAUGUGUGUAAAAAUACACACGGCAUAAGUACGGACCGCACAGCUGGAAAAUGUCAGGCGGUUUAAAGCUGAUGCCGCUGUUUACUACUCAGACUUGAAGUGCAUUAUCUCUGCUUGCUUUUUCUGCCCGAGGCGAGCCGAGGGAAGAUGAAGACGGCUGGACGGGGUCAGGCGUUGUGGAAGAGGCCCCCAGGCUGGGGAAGCUGAUCAAAACAAGCUACCUCAAACAUCACACACCUGUUAAAUCCAUCAUUCACAACAUCAUCAGUGUGUUUCAGUGUCUGAAGACGUUGUGCUACGUACCGUACUUAUCCAGGAAGAGGAAGAAGAAAGUGUCGAUAAUGGUGAUGAGCACACCGGCCCAGAGGGGGAUCCUGUCAUCAAAACACACAGCAACUGAAGAAGCUCAAUUUUUAUGUUUUAGCACCAAACGACCUGUGAUUCUGGAUACCAAACGCCCUCAAAACGGCAUCAACUUCUCACCAGAGACUCCCUUUGGAAGCCCAUAGACAAUGCUACAAAAUAUCGCCCUCUGGUGGCCCCCACUUUGAUAAACACUGCCACACCUGUGAGAGGACAGGAGGUUGAACGCGAUGGCGCAGCCGAUGACCUCCU